AUGGAUAGGCGAGCAAUAGACGGCGACCGCGGCGGCCCGUUAAGGCGGCCGCCGACCAGCGCCGGGCCCGGGCGGACGGCGCCAAAGCACGGGGUGAAGGUGACGCACAUCGUCCCGAGGGAGGUGAUCGCGGACGAGGCCAGCUUCAAAUACGUCGUGCAGAGGCUCACCGGGAAAGACUCUGCGGCAGCGCGUCUGGAACUCCUCGGCGACUGUAAUCCGGUAAGAAUGACGACGGCGCCAGCGGUGGCGGACGCCGGUGUGUCGAUCCGGAACUGUAAUGACGGCGCGGAGGCCGCCGGUGGCUCGAGCCCGAAGAGCAGUGGCAGCGAGGACGGCGGCGGCGGUGGUGCAGCUGGGGUUUUCUCUGCAGUUUCUUUGUUCGAGGACAUGGUGGCAGCUGAUGUGCUCCCGUCCUUGGACGAAAUGAAUUGCUGGUGGGGCACGCGUGAUUGA
This 456-nucleotide ribosomal RNA is filed under the name Triticum aestivum (bread wheat). RNAcentral describes it as "partial small subunit ribosomal RNA". Lineage: Eukaryota; Viridiplantae; Streptophyta; Magnoliopsida; Poales; Poaceae. The record is from RNAcentral.